UCUGCCACCAUGAACGGAGACUCACAGUGGAGAAUCCACCACACCCACAAAAAUCUGACUUCUCUCCUCUCCUCUCAUCGUCUCUUUCCAUUCUUUUUGUUAGAUUGCGUUUUCUAUGUUUCCCACUUUAAUAUCAAUCCUUCCUGUCCUUUCUGUUAUUAGAAACCCCAACCAAGAUCUGCUCUUUCGUCACGGCCAAAUCAGGAUAUGAAGCAGCAGCACCAGUACUGAUCCAGAAUGGACUGAGGAAACCAUGGCGGACAUAAAAGGCGGUUUGGAUUCGGCUGAACCAUGUAUCGAAAGCAUUAUAAACAAAGACUCAGGUGCAGGUGCAAAUGCAGCUUCAAUGGCAGAGAUAGUACUUAUCACCAAUUCUCCACUCUCUGAGUUAAUUUGGACUCCGCAAGAAGGUUUAAGUCUUAAGUACACUGACUCCAGUAAAGCUGAAAAGAAAGCCUCCUUUUUGUGGAAAGCAGAAUCAUUCAACAUGAGAAUUUCUACUUCACUGUGUACAAAUCGUGGGGAGAGUAGCUCUAGCAGAGAUCAGAUUGCAGGAGAAUUGAGCACAGUACAGUCAAAUCAUAAUGCUGAUGGAAUUGCUUUCUUGGGCUCGCAUAAGGGAUCAGUUGAUCCGCAACCUAUCUCUCUGUCAAGUUUACAUGAGCAAGAUUCUCGAUCUUGUGGAGACAAGAAGCCAGAGAAAGGUAUGAAUGAUGCAGAUAUAAAUAUUAGUCAGUCGGUUAAAAAUGGUGAGGAUCCAUGCUCCCCUCGGAGCAAUGAGUGUUUGCAUGUCAUUUGUCCUGCCACAGAUGCAGAUAAUCUGCAGAAUGAAAAUUUCUCUCCAGGUCCCAGGCCUGAUCUAGCAGAAACUGAAGCUGGCUUUGGAAUUACUGCUGGAACCUCGAAUGUGCUUCUUGAUAUACCAAAAUUUCAAAAAUCUGGCUUGGUAGGAGUAUCAGAUUCUCAUGACUCAGUGUCAACAAGAAGUGGAAAGUCAAUAUCAAGUAACAGAUCAUCAGAAUCGUCAGAAUGCAAACAUCCUGAUUUAGUUUUCCGUGACACCCAAGAAGAUGAUAUCAGGAAAACUGACAAUCUAGUUUGCUUCCAGCUUCAUGGUAGUCAACAUUCCUAUGGUAGACAAUCUAAAAGUGUAGGGUGUCAGAGCAAGGAUGGUUUGGUUGUAGCAUCACUUUUUCAAGAGGCAAGUAAAGAUGAAAAACAAAAUAUUAAAAUGAAAAAUGAGACUAAUAAAUUUAGGUCUAAGUCAGAUGUUAAUCCUGGAAAAUUGGAGAAAGGUAAGGAAAAAAUCCUCUUUGAUGAUGAAGAUUAUGAUAGCAGUAUGAAAGAGAAAGAGGAUAGCAAUGAGAGUGUUGAAAGCAGUAACGGUCAGAGAUUAAUUUCAAAAGGGAAACGAGCAUUCAGUUUUGAUUCUAAGACCACCGAAGGAUGUAAAAGAAUUAAGAGAGACGGCAAUGAACACUCUUGCCCAGGAUCUCUCAUCAGAAAUGAUAGCUCCUUUAUUAAUUGGAUAUCAACCAUAACGAGCAGUUUCUCAAGAUACGAUCAGACCAGGACUUCCUUGGCACUUCUUCCACAAUCCUAUCAUAGCAUGAAAGAAAGCUUUGGUUCGCUUAGAAUAUCACAUGAGAAGAUUGGGGGAGUUAUGUGCAAAACUCCGGGUUUUAAUACUUUCUUCCAGGCGCUGUACUGUCCAAAUAUGAUAGCCCCAGAUACCACAAGUGAUGAUCAUCAAAGAGAAGGCGGUACUUCCAAAGAUGUAAAAGCCAUGGGGGAACAUUAUAAACAUUAUGCCAAUCAUGCUUUUGGUAACUUUUUGCAGUUCAACUUAAUGGAUCCUGCAAGAGGCAAGCAAACAUAUAAUGACUUAAAAGAACAUUUAACUAACAAACCAUUGUCUGCCAGUGGUCUUUGUGUUGUCUGUGGUGGAGGUAGUGGCAAAUCACACAGUCAAGUUUCUUCUUUGAAUGAGAGGCACAAUCAGGCCAGUUAUCAUGUUGAAAAUGCACCCCCAAUAAUGAUCAAUGUAUCUUCCUCCAACUCUCAAAUCCAUGAAGAGUUUGAGAAAAACAGGGGGCAGACAUGUGCUUUCAAUAGCAUGAACACUUCAAGUUCCUCAGCUAGGAAAGGUUUAAUAUGUGCUCAGGAGAAAGGAAAUGGAAAGCUUAGUUCUCAUCCAAAGAGCCCAGUAAGUAUGAUGUGCAGGGAGAAAAGCAAUUACCUUGAGAACUUAUGGAUUACUCGGUUUCUGCGGAAAGAGUCUUCACCACUUUUAAGAUCAGAAAAAUGCAAUUUGAGCAUAAAUGAUCAUGGUGCUUUCGACAAGGAGGAAAAGUUUCCUGAUAAGUGCGUCUCCUCUUACUUAAAAAAUCAAAGGGAGUCUGCUAGAGAAGUAAGCAAGCAUGCUGUCAAUCCUACUUUUUCCUGUGGUUUAAAGAGGCUAGACAAUCAAAUGCUAAACCCUAGAGUAAGCUCGAUUAUACCAUCUAAAAAUUUUAAGAACACAGAUAUGGCGGCUUCUUGCUCUGCAAAAAGAUUUGACAUGAAUCCAUCAAAAGUUUCACAUAACCGUAACUUGUCUUGUACUCCCAUAACCUGUUUAUUUUGUGGAAAAAAUGGUCACAGCUUAAGAGAAUGUUCAGAGCUAGCAGAUUUUGACCUCCAGGAUGUAAAGGACAUUUUGGAUUCGUAUGAUGGCAAACAUAUGUCUUCCCGGUUGUGCAUUCGGUGCUUUCAGGUUAAUCACUGGGCAAUUUCAUGCCCCCAUGCUUCCUUGGAAACAAAAAAUACCAGCAAUAGUUCUUUCAGUGUUGCACAUGAAAGUUGUAUUGUGAGAGAAGGAAAGCAUGAUAGCCGAGUAAAUUUGUGGUCUGGAGACAAAAAUAAGCAACAUGCUAACAAAAGUAAAUUACCAGAAAGAGAAGAUUCAAGAAUGGAUGCUCAAACUGUUAAUUAUAGAAGCAUUUGUGCAGACAGAGUUUUGUUCCCUACUGCAAAAGUUUUUAAGGGCUAUCGGGCAGAGGAUAUGGUGAACAUGGAUCAACAGGCUUCAUGUUCCUCAGAGAACAAGUCAAGGAAAAAUCAAAUUACACCAUUCUAUAAGAGCAUUGCUACAGAUGUCUCUAAUGAACAAAAUGGAAUUUUCAAAGCAAUAAGGAGGCUUCGAUUAUCUCGCACUGAUGUAAUAAGAUGGAUGAAAUCAGCAAAUCUCAGUUAUAGCCUGGAGGGUUUCUUCAUACGCCUAAGACUUGGGAAGUGGGAGAAAGGACUAGGGGGAACUGGGUACCAGGUGGCUCGCAUAAUUAGUGCUGGUCGUAAAAACUGCCUUUCUGUGAGCAUAGGACAUCUAGAAUGUUCGGUGGAAUGUUGUUUUGUGUCGAACCAUGAUUAUGUUGAGGAAGAAUUGAAGGCCUGGUUAUCUGCUACUUUAGAAGCUGAUGGCAAAAUGCCAUCAAUAGAGCAACUCAGUGAGAAACUUAAAGAAAGAGAGGAGCUUGGAUUCUAAGAAGAUGCUUCAAGGUUUCAAUCACGGUGCCAAUAGCAGCCUGAUGGUGCGAAGCUUAGCUACAUCAUAAAAACAUUUCCUAUGAGAUGCUUCAAGGAAAUCUGAAAGGAAGACAUCCAAGUAAAGCAAUAUAAAUGGAGACAUCCAUAUUAGUAGCUGCACUGGACCCAGCACAUUGCGUCCUUGAAGCGACUCCUUGCAGGCUCCAUGGAAGUUCCAUGACUGCCAAGGCAUCUCAUUCUUACAAACACUUGUGAGCAUUAACAACCACAGUACUCUGCUUAUAUGACACCAAACAUUGGUAGAACAUGUUGUCUUCACAAGUUAAUCUGUCUUUACGGUGAGAAAAAGUGCUCCAGUCAUCAAAAGGCUUGCAGAUGUGUAGCAUGCCCACCUUCUCUUUCAUCCCAAAAGGUGAAUCGAAGAUAAUGAUUGAUCACCCAUCAAAAACUGCUGACUGUUGAUAUGUACAAGAAGCAGCAGUAGGCUGCACUGGCUGUGAGGAGGAGAUUAGUAUCUAUGUUUGGGCAGAUUGGGUGUGAAGCUUGGUGUGGUUGUGCUCGCCUUCGUAGGUGACAAUAAGCAUGGAGGGGUCUUCCAAGCACCUCUCCACAUGCUUCUUUGCAGGGCAGCCUCUAAUGCUGCUGCACUUGUAAUACCCCCUGCAUUUGGGAUUUAUCACCUCUUUCUUAGUUGGUUUAAUGAUUGAUGCAGUAAGAACAUUCAACAAAAAUACAAAAAAUAAAGGAAUUGAGUAUUAAUCAUGAA
Molecule: RNA transcript, 4291 nt
Organism: Musa acuminata AAA Group (dessert banana)
Lineage: Eukaryota; Viridiplantae; Streptophyta; Magnoliopsida; Zingiberales; Musaceae
Exons: 9
Source: RefSeq, a predicted model, not a curated record